GGGGGCGAUAGGCCUCGACGGGGGUUAUGAAGCCCUGGUUGCAUACCGUGGCCCUGUCACCACGCAAAAAGGCAGGAAACAAAUACAAAAGCCAACACUGAAUUGGCACUUGCUGCUUAAGCAGCGCGCUUCCCUGGGAUUGCCUGUGCCCCAGGAGAGGCGUCAGAAAGCAGGCUGGCUUAAAGGUCUCUCCCUUAGCCUUUAGGCAAGACUUUAAGGGAUAGGAAUCAAGGAUGCCCGCUUACUGGCAGCCCUGAUUCUAAAAAGAAAAUAAGUAAGCUAAGUAUGUAGAUGCCGUGGUGUAGUGCUUCCGGACGCGGGUUCGAUUCCCGCCGCCUCCACCA
This 344-nucleotide transfer-messenger RNA is filed under the name Nitrospiraceae bacterium. It matches the Rfam family "transfer-messenger RNA". Rfam says of the family: Bacterial tmRNA, also known as 10Sa RNA or SsrA, is named for its dual tRNA and mRNA-like properties. Lineage: Bacteria; Pseudomonadati; Nitrospirota; Nitrospiria; Nitrospirales; Nitrospiraceae. The record is from RNAcentral.